Molecule: ribosomal RNA, 246 nt
Filed under: uncultured bacterium
Lineage: Bacteria
Description: partial 16S ribosomal RNA
Rfam family: Bacterial small subunit ribosomal RNA
Source: RNAcentral
AUACGUAGGGGGCGAGCGUUAUCCGGAUUUAUUGGGCGUAAAGCGUGUGUAGGUGGUUUAUUAAGUAUAAGAUUAAAGCCCGAGGCUUAACCUCGGUUCGUUUUAUAAACUGGUAGACUUGAGUAUGGUAGAGGCAAAUGGAAUUUCUAGUGUAGCGGUAGAAUGCGUAGGUAUUAGAAGGAACACCAGUGGCGAAAGCGAUUUGCUGGGCCAUUACUGACACUGAGACACGAAAGCGUGGGGAGC